AUGUCUUCAGACGCAGUCCCGUGCCGUUUGCUCAUUGUUUGGAAGAAUAAUAGUUUGGAACAGAAGUUUCUUCAGCCUUUUGUUUUGGAGCUGGCUUUUCUCAAAGUUUCUUUGAUAAAUCAUGAAACCACUGAGUUAAUUUUUGAUUAGGGGCAUAUUUAGGAAGCAUUUCAAAUGAGAAAGGAAUUUGUUGCCUAGAUCUGCUGCGCUUUGAUGUGUUGGUCGGCAGUAACCGUAACCUCUGUUUUCCCUCUGCCAGCUGAGAAGAAGACUCCUUCCUAAGUUUUCCUCUUUUUAAUAUUGCCCUACAGCCUUGGGAAGGGGCUCUGCAGCCCUCCUGUUGCUCCUGCUGGCUGUGGCAGGUCUCAGCACAGAGCUUGUCCAUGCAGGGAGCUUGCUCUGACCAAAACUGGGGGUGAAUUUUAAAUAGUUUUGGUUUUUUUCUUUAGCAGAGAGCGUGGGUGGUUUAUUCUGGAAUACCAGUGCCUUGUUCAGAUUCUUUUAAUCUGCUUGGAAAGGGGAGUGAGGCAUUGUUAUUCUGGAUUGAGUCCCCAGAGAAAGAAAGGGAUGAUCAGGAGCUGGGAAUGGCUGAGAAAGGAGCCUAAAUGCUUUCAAAAUCUGAACCUGCUCAGCUGUGGAAGGUGUUGGACUGCUGCAGGUGGCCGGGCAGCAAAGCCUGGGGCUCUGGCUCUCCCCCCCACACCCCUUCCUCCCUUGGGGGCUCCUUUAGGCAUCCCAUUGUGGUUUCUUUGGGUUUCACUUGGGGGGGAAAAAAACCCCUAAUGAAGCUCUGAGUCCUUGUGAAGUGUUUAGGUUUUGAUCUGGAAGGUUAGAAGGUUUCCUCUGGAUCUGUGCCCAGGCACUUUUCUCCUUCUCUGCCCACUGAUGACCAGAGACCCAACAGCCACCAUGUCCUUCCUUCAGCACCAAACACCCAACAGCACCAAACCUUCCUUCUCUUUGCACAGGGACUGACCACAGGGCUGUGCAGCCAGAAGCUUCUGUACAGGCCCAGCUGUACAUCUGAGUCCAGUUCCCUCAAGGGUGCCAGCUUAUUGUUUUCCCCCAUAUUUCAAAUAUUUAUCUUUUUUUUCCAAAGACAAGGUAAGUCUCAGAGCACAUGUGUGACACUUGCCUGGUGUGACUGGCUCUGCAGCCAGCCCUUGCACCGUGCUCCUUGGUGCCAUCCCAGGUUUUUAGUGCCAAUAGGUGUGUGUAAGCCACACUCAAGUGUUCCUGGGUGUUCACCUUCUGUUGUAGAGGGAAAUUGUUCCAGUGUCACCCAGCCGGGUUUCUGUUGUAGAUCGUGGUGAUUGUCAACUGCCAAGGGAUAUUUUUAAAUAAAUCUUACCAAGGCAUUUCAAAUAAA
Calypte anna (Anna's hummingbird) is the source of this 1369-nucleotide long non-coding RNA. RefSeq lists it as uncharacterized. The record is from RefSeq and is a predicted model, not a curated record. NCBI's taxonomy places the organism in Eukaryota, Metazoa, Chordata, Aves, Apodiformes, Trochilidae. The transcript has 2 exons.